RNAcentral lists this non-coding RNA (87 nucleotides) under Paenibacillus rhizosphaerae. RNAcentral's name for it is "c-di-GMP sequence". It matches the Rfam family "c-di-GMP-I riboswitch aptamer". From Rfam's summary of the family: GEMM was predicted in a large-scale screen for bacterial structured RNA regulatory elements. The record is from Rfam by way of RNAcentral. Lineage: Bacteria; Bacillati; Bacillota; Bacilli; Caryophanales; Paenibacillaceae.
AAAAUCCAUAGGCAAAACUGCUGAAAAGCAGUGACGCAAAGCUAUAGGGACUACUUCCGAAACGGGAUAUGUCAGCCAGUUGCAAAU